AUUGAACGCUGGCGGCAUGCCCUACACAUGCAAGUCGAACGGUAACAGGUCUUCGGAUGCUGACGAGUGGCGAACGGGUGAGUAAUACAUCGGAACGUGCCUAGUAGUGGGGGAUAACUACUCGAAAGAGUGGCUAAUACCGCAUGAGAUCUACGGAUGAAAGCAGGGGAUCGCAAGACCUUGUGCUACUAGAGCGGCCGAUGGCAGAUUAGGUAGUUGGUGGGAUAAAAGCUUACCAAGCCGACGCUCUGUAGCUGGUCUGAGAGGACGAUCAGCCACACUGGGACUGAGACACGGCCCAGACUCCUACGGGAGGCAGCAGUGGGGAAUUUUGGACAAUGGGCGCAAGCCUGAUCCAGCAAUGCCGCGUGCAGGAUGAAGGCCUUCGGGUUGUAAACUGCUUUUGUACGGAACGAAAAGCCCCGUGUUAAUACCCUGGGGUCAUGACGGUACCGUAAGAAUAAGCACCGGCUAACUACGUGCCAGCCGCCGCGGUAA
RNAcentral lists this ribosomal RNA (498 nucleotides) under uncultured bacterium. RNAcentral's name for it is "partial 16S ribosomal RNA". It matches the Rfam family "Bacterial small subunit ribosomal RNA", at positions 30 to 523 of the family's 1533-position model. The record is from RNAcentral.